GCAGGGGACGCUGAAAACCUGAAAAAGAGUAGGCU
Molecule: regulatory RNA element, 35 nt
Organism: Dyadobacter fermentans DSM 18053
Lineage: Bacteria; Pseudomonadati; Bacteroidota; Cytophagia; Cytophagales; Spirosomataceae
Rfam family: DUF805b RNA
About the family: Bacteroidetes, Chlorobi (1 example), Proteobacteria. Lineage (Flavobacteria)
Source: Rfam